Gorilla gorilla gorilla (western lowland gorilla) is the source of this 111-nucleotide unclassified non-coding RNA. It matches the Rfam family "Y RNA". Rfam says of the family: Y RNAs are components of the Ro ribonucleoprotein particle (Ro RNP), in association with Ro60 and La proteins. The Y RNAs and Ro60 and La proteins are well conserved, but the function of the Ro RNP is not known. The record is from Ensembl. NCBI's taxonomy places the organism in Eukaryota, Metazoa, Chordata, Mammalia, Primates, Hominidae.
GGCUCGUCCGAAGGUAGUGGGUUAUCCCAAUUGAUUGUUCACAAUUGCAGAUUGAACUCCUUGUUCUACUUCCACCCAUCCCUUCUCACUACUGCACUUGACUAGUCUUUA